GGCUCAAGGCCACUUGCCCCAGGAAGAUAGCAGAAACAGGAAGAAAGCUGGCCGAGAGACACAUACCCGCUGAAGAUCGAAAAGGAAGCUGUCAAGGUACUACGUAGCAGUCACUUCAGACUCGGACACUUCCUGUUUACAGAGGACUAUAAAACCCCUGCCCCGUCCUCACUUGACGCUGACGCCAUUUUAGGCCUCAGCCCAUCUGCACCCAGGCGCUCGUUAAAACAGCCUGUAGCUCCACACCGCCUCCUGUUGUCUGUUGGCACGUUCUCGGGGUUCCAACCGAUACAAGAGCCUUGCAAAAGGUUGGGAUCAUGGUGCCAGAGGCAGGACCAAAAUGAGAUCCCCUCAGACAAAUUGGCAACCCCUGGAAUGGAGUGUGGUAUCAACUGAGCCCACUGUGUAUCUCCUCUUGGAUUCUAGGACUCUUACUUUGGUCUCACGCCACUUGAUUACUACCCUGAUUUCUCUAUCCAUAGCUACCAACCCUACUUUAAUAUGUGCAACUUUCUGAAAAUAAAAUUUUAAACAGGGGACUGAAGGAAACGAGACUAUUUCACUCAGAAAUUUGGUUAAAGAAAUAGUUGCAAGGUCUCUCUGGCCUCUCCCCUACCCUGCUGUUAUCUCUGAAUCACCUGUCUCUCUCGAGCACAGGAUUAAUCUGUUCUCUCAAGUUCCCUUACUUUCCUAGAAACCAGAUAUGCUAAAGAGAAACAGAGUUGCCUUCUCUGAAAUUUCAUUAACCAGAAAAGAUGAAAACUCAUAUUCCAGAGGAGGAGAUUGAAAACUAAACCCUACACCUAGAGCCCAGACUUUGUUCCAAAUCAAACUCUCUGUUCAAUUUAAUUUCCAAAGAAAUUAUUUAUUAACCAUUGUCUGAGCAUUAAAUCUAUUCAUUUUCCCCAUAAAAAGCAUUUACUAUCCCUCAGACGGCCCCAUUUCUCCUAACUCUUCUUCCCCUAUGAAGAAGGCGUUAUACACAUCUGUACCACAUUGAGUUACUGGGUAAUCACUGUUUAUGUUUUGAGGGGGACCUUUACAGAAAAUCCUUGUAAAAAAAAUCAAGUAUACAUUACUGCCUUUUUCCAUGAG
Molecule: long non-coding RNA, 1095 nt
Filed under: Homo sapiens (human)
Lineage: Eukaryota; Metazoa; Chordata; Mammalia; Primates; Hominidae
Description: HSALNT0080799
Source: RNAcentral